Nannospalax galili (Upper Galilee mountains blind mole rat) is the source of this 693-nucleotide non-coding RNA. The record is from the annotation of a RefSeq genome assembly. Lineage: Eukaryota; Metazoa; Chordata; Mammalia; Rodentia; Spalacidae.
CUGUUCUAGAUGUGGUUUCAUUUACAUUCAGGUCAUAGUUGAACACGCCUAUUGUCUUUGGGUCAUAAGAAAGACAGCUGUUGUACAGAAAGAAGUUCUUGCCUGUGAGUAAGUCCUUAUUAUAAAAUCUUCUGGAGGCUAACCCUGUAUGAUUUGGUGUACUGAAAGAAGUAAGAAUCACUUACUUCUAAGAACAUGCCUUCUGUCAAAUGCUUGGGACUUGGGAUCCUCUUACUGUUCACGAAGAGUAAUGGAGAUUCUGUGACCCAGACAGAAGGUCCAGUUACUGUCACAGAGAGGGCAUCUGUAAUGCUGAACUGCACCUACCAGACCACUUAUUCAGUUCCCACGGUUUUCUGGUACAUCCAAGAUCUCAACAAAGCCCCUCAGCUGCUCCUGAAGACAGCAACUGAAAACCAGAGGACGGAGAACCGAGGGUUUCACGCCACGCUUGUGAAGAGCAGUAACUCCUUCCACCUGCACAAGUCCUCACUGCAGCUGUCAGACUCGGCCCUGUACUACUGCGCUGUGAGUGACACAGUGCGGGAAACUGCAGGGGGAGCUGAGCACAAACCCAGGCUCACAGGAGGGCUGCAGGGGAGCGGCCCUGUGAGGGAAGGUUACAUGCUUUCUCUAAGCAGUGUUUAUUUAGCUUUCACAAGAACAGUAAUAAAUCCAAGAUCAAAUUCCUAG